GACAGAGGGUGCAAACGUUGUUCGGAAUUACUGGGCGUAAAGCGUGCGUAGGCGGUUCGCUAAGUCGGUUGUGAAAUCCCUGGGCUUAACCUGGGAACUGCAGUCGAUACUGGCGGACUAGAGUACGGUAGAGGGUGGCGGAACUCCGGGUGUAGCGGUGAAAUGCGUAGAUAUCCGGAAGAACACCGAUGGCGAAGGCAGCCACCUGGGCCUGUACUGACGCUGAGGUACGAAAGCGUGGGGAGCAAACAGG
Molecule: ribosomal RNA, 253 nt
Filed under: uncultured bacterium
Lineage: Bacteria
Description: partial 16S ribosomal RNA
Rfam family: Bacterial small subunit ribosomal RNA
Source: RNAcentral